Molecule: ribosomal RNA, 1448 nt
Filed under: uncultured organism
Description: SSU rRNA
Rfam family: Bacterial small subunit ribosomal RNA
Source: RNAcentral
GAACGCUAGCUACAGGCUUAACACAUGCAAGUCGAGGGGCAGCAUUUUAGUUUGCUUGCAAACUGAAGAUGGCGACCGGCGCACGGGUGAGUAACACGUAUCCAACCUGCCGAUAACUCCGGAAUAGCCUUUCGAAAGAAAGAUUAAUACCGGAUAGCAUACGAAUAUCGCAUGAUAUUUUUAUUAAAGAAUUUCGGUUAUCGAUGGGGAUGCGUUCCAUUAGUUUGUUGGCGGGGUAACGGCCCACCAAGACAACGAUGGAUAGGGGUUCUGAGAGGAAGGUCCCCCACAUUGGAACUGAGACACGGUCCAAACUCCUACGGGAGGCAGCAGUGAGGAAUAUUGGUCAAUGGGCGAGAGCCUGAACCAGCCAAGUAGCGUGAAGGAUGAAGGCUCUAUGGGUCGUAAACUUCUUUUAUAUGGGAAUAAAGUUUUCCACGUGUGGAAUUUUGUAUGUACCAUAUGAAUAAGGAUCGGCUAACUCCGUGCCAGCAGCCGCGGUAAUACGGAGGAUCCGAGCGUUAUCCGGAUUUAUUGGGUUUAAAGGGAGCGUAGGUGGAUUGUUAAGUCAGUUGUGAAAGUUUGCGGCUCAACCGUAAAAUUGCAGUUGAAACUGGCAGUCUUGAGUACAGUAGAGGUGGGCGGAAUUCGUGGUGUAGCGGUGAAAUGCUUAGAUAUCACGAAGAACUCCGAUUGCGAAGGCAGCUCACUAGACUGUCACUGACACUGAUGCUCGAAAGUGUGGGUAUCAAACAGGAUUAGAUACCCUGGUAGUCCACACAGUAAACGAUGAAUACUCGCUGUUUGCGAUAUACAGUAAGCGGCCAAGCGAAAGCAUUAAGUAUUCCACCUGGGGAGUACGCCGGCAACGGUGAAACUCAAAGGAAUUGACGGGGGCCCGCACAAGCGGAGGAACAUGUGGUUUAAUUCGAUGAUACGCGAGGAACCUUACCCGGGCUUAAAUUGCAACAGAAUAUAUUGGAAACAGUAUAGCCGUAAGGCUGUUGUGAAGGUGCUGCAUGGUUGUCGUCAGCUCGUGCCGUGAGGUGUCGGCUUAAGUGCCAUAACGAGCGCAACCCUUAUCUUUAGUUACUAACAGGUGAUGCUGAGGACUCUAGAGAGACUGCCGUCGUAAGAUGUGAGGAAGGUGGGGAUGACGUCAAAUCAGCACGGCCCUUACGUCCGGGGCUACACACGUGUUACAAUGGGGGGUACAGAAGGCGGCUACCUGGUGACAGGAUGCUAAUCCCAAAAACCUCUCUCAGUUCGGAUCGAAGUCUGCAACCCGACUUCGUGAAGCUGGAUUCGCUAGUAAUCGCGCAUCAGCCAUGGCGCGGUGAAUACGUUCCCGGGCCUUGUACACACCGCCCGUCAAGCCAUGAAAGCCGGGGGUACCUGAAGUACGUAACCGCAAGGAGCGUCCUAGGGUAAAACUGGUAAUUGGGGCU